UCUUCCGGCGCUAAGCCAGGCAUCCGAGGGUUAGGCCUCAGGAAAUUCUUCCGGCGCUAAGCCAGGCAUCCGAGGGUUAGGCCUCAGGAAAUUCUUCCGGCGCUAAGCCAGGCAUCCGAGGGUUAGGCCUCAGGAAAUUCUUCCGGCACUAAGCCAGGCAUCCGAGGGUUAAACUGUUGCUGGUGGUCCAAACCGAGAACGAUUGGCACAGCGGUGUGAACGGGAUUCCGUCUGAGUUGUCUUGGUUGGUGUUGAUUGCGCUCCACCUUCCACCGAAAAACCUGCAAGCAAGCCUCGCACCACCACUGGGGUAGUGGGGGCCCUCCGACGAUCAAGUCAGAGGAGAUUGGAG
Molecule: long non-coding RNA, 352 nt
Filed under: Phoenix dactylifera (date palm)
Lineage: Eukaryota; Viridiplantae; Streptophyta; Magnoliopsida; Arecales; Arecaceae
Description: long non-coding RNA (PDAC_LNC020367)
Source: RNAcentral